Molecule: ribosomal RNA, 253 nt
Filed under: uncultured bacterium
Lineage: Bacteria
Description: partial 16S ribosomal RNA
Rfam family: Bacterial small subunit ribosomal RNA
Source: RNAcentral
GACAGAGGCCUCGAGCGUUAGGCGGAAUCACUGGGCUUAAAGCGUGUGUAGGCGGGCCCGUAAGUGUCUUGUGAAAUCCCACGGCUCAACCGUGGAACUGCUGGGCAUACUGCGGGUCUUGGGCCAACUAGGGGCAGCCGGAACAAGCGGUGGAGCGGUGAAAUGCGUAGAUAUCGCUUGGAACGCCGAAGGUGAAAACAGGCUGCUGGGGUUGCGCCGACGCUGAGACACGAAAGCCAGGGGAGCAAACGGA